GAUAGGAUGUGCAAUAUUUCAGAUUAUUGAAUUAAAAACUACAAGAUCAAGAAAGUGAUUCUUAGGAACAAGCAUAAAGAACUGGACUUCUUUUGAGUGGCUGACCCUCAAGAACCAAUCCAUCCAUCCCACGGUAGGACUGGGCCAGGAACGGAAGGUAUCAUUCCAUAGAUCCAAAGAGAAAUUCUCGGCUCUAAAAGCGAUCCUGUUGGUUUCUACGUUAAUAAGAUCGGUUGGAUCUGGAUUCCCUAACGGACCAAGAUAUUGGAGGUGUGGUUGAUCGGUGGGGAUGACGAUUUUGUUGGACAGAUUCUAAUGGUUUUGAAGGUAAAAGAAAAAAACAAAGAAAGAAAAAGAAGAUGUUCAGUAAAAUAGAUUGCAGAUGAACAGGGAUGCGAGGAAAAGCACAGAAGGUGGAGUGAAGAACUAACCUCAGGAACGGUGAAGUUGAUGGCCAUCUCGCCACGAAGAGGAUGAUCGAGGGCUUCGGAGUUGGUGAAGAAGGACUUCAUCGGGGAUCUUGAAGCUCUCGAACAAUGCCGCCGCCGGGAAAGUGGAGUUGGUGCUGUGGAAUGAUGUGAUGGGGAAGGAGUACCUGAGAAGGAACUAUUUAUAGGACAAAAUGGGCAAGGGCAAAUCUGACUUAUCUCCCC
Molecule: long non-coding RNA, 653 nt
Filed under: Sorghum bicolor (sorghum)
Lineage: Eukaryota; Viridiplantae; Streptophyta; Magnoliopsida; Poales; Poaceae
Description: long non-coding RNA (SBIC_LNC016230)
Source: RNAcentral